This 460-nucleotide ribosomal RNA is filed under the name uncultured bacterium. RNAcentral describes it as "partial 16S ribosomal RNA". It matches the Rfam family "Bacterial small subunit ribosomal RNA", at positions 338 to 795 of the family's 1533-position model. The record is from RNAcentral.
CCUACGGGAGGCAGCAGUGAGGAAUAUUGGUCAAUGGGCGCGAGCCUGAACCAGCCAAGUAGCGUGAAGGAUGACUGCCCUACGGGUUGUAAACUUCUUUUAUAAAGGAAUAAAGUGAGGCACGUGUGCCUUUUUGUCUGUACUUUAUGAAUAAGGAUCGGCUAACUCCGUGCCAGCAGCCGCGGUAAUACGGAGGAUCCGAUCGUUAUCCGGAUUUAUUGGGUUGAAAGGGAGCGUAGAUGGGUUGUUAAGUCAGUUGUGAAAGUUUGCGGGUCAACCGUAAGAUUGCAAUUGAUACUGGCAGCCUUGAGUACAGUUGAGGUAGGCGGAAUUCGUGGUGUAGCGGUGAAAUGCUUAGAUAUCACGAAGAAAUCCGAUUGCGAAGGCAGCUUACUAAACUGCCACUGACAUUGAUGCUCGAAAGUGUGGGUAUCAAACAGGAUUAGAGACCCCUGUAGUC